UNAGUUUGAUCAUGGCUCAGAUUGCACGCUGGUNGCAUGCCUUACACAUGCAAGUCGAACGGUAACAGGUCUUCGGACGCUGACGAGUGGCGAACGGGUGAGUAAUACAUCGGAACGUGCCCAGUCGUGGGGGAUAACUACUCGAAAGAGUAGCUAAUACCGCAUACGAUCUGAGGAUGAAAGCGGGGGACCUUCGGGCCUCGCGCGAUUGGAGCGGCCGAUGGCAGAUUAGGUAGUUGGUGGGAUAAAAGCUUACCAAGCCGACGAUCUGUAGCUGGUCUGAGAGGACGACCAGCCACACUGGGACUGAGACACGGCCCAGACUCCUACGGGAGGCAGCAGUGGGGAAUUUUGGACAAUGGGCGAAAGCCUGAUCCAGCAAUGCCGCGUGCAGGAUGAAGGCCUUCGGGUUGUAAACUGCUUUUGUACGGAACGAAAAAGCUCCUUCUAAUACAGGGGGGCCCAUGACGGUACCGUAAGAAUAAGCACCGGCUAACUACGUGCCAGCAGCCGCGGUAAUACGUAAGGGUGCGAGCGUUAAUCGGAAUUNACUGGGGCGUAAAAGCCGGUGCGCAGGGCGGNUUAUGGUACAGACAGAUGUUGAAAUUCCCCCGGGCUUCAACCUGGGGAACUGCUUUUGGUGACUUGCUUGGGCUAGAGUUACGGUUACGAGGGGGAUGGGAAUUCCGCGUUU
This 694-nucleotide ribosomal RNA is filed under the name uncultured bacterium. Its description in RNAcentral is "bacterial SSU rRNA". It matches the Rfam family "Bacterial small subunit ribosomal RNA", at positions 1 to 676 of the family's 1533-position model. The record is from RNAcentral.